GACGAACGCUGGCGGCGUGCUUAACACAUGCAAGUCGAACGAUGAAGCAAAGAAUCGAAGCUUCGGCAGAAAUUCAUUUCGGAUUAGUGGCAGACGGGUGAGUAACGCGUGAGCAACCUACCUCUUACAAAGGGAUAGCCUCGGGAAACCGGGAUUAAUACCAUAUAACAUUGCGCCGAAGCAUUUCGAUGCAAUCAAAGCUACGGCGGUAAGAGAUGGGCUCGCGUCCCAUUAACCGGAUGGUGAGGUAACGGCUCACCAUAGUGACGAUGGGUAACCGGCCUGAGAGGGUGAACGGUCACACUGGAACUGAGACACGGUCCAGACUCCUACGGGAAGCAGCAGUGGGGAAUAUUGCACAAUGGAGGGAACUCUGAUGCAGCGACGCCGCGUGAGUGAUGAAGGAAUUCGUUUCGUAAAACUCUGUUCUAUGGGAAGAAAAGGACUGUACCAUAGGAGAAAGCUCCGGCUAAAUACGUG
Molecule: ribosomal RNA, 480 nt
Filed under: uncultured bacterium
Lineage: Bacteria
Description: partial 16S ribosomal RNA
Rfam family: Bacterial small subunit ribosomal RNA
Source: RNAcentral